Molecule: ribosomal RNA, 142 nt
Filed under: uncultured eukaryote
Lineage: Eukaryota
Description: partial 18S ribosomal RNA
Rfam family: Eukaryotic small subunit ribosomal RNA
Source: RNAcentral
UGGUGGAGUGAUUUGUCUGGUUAAUUCCGUUAACGAACGAGACCCCCGCCUGCUAAAUAGUCUCCCUCAAGCGUAUGCUUGGGCGGAGGGCUUCUUAGAGGGACUUUACGUGACUAACGUAAGGAAGUUGGGGGCAAUAACA